CAACGCCAACGGGUUCAGAGAAGAGCUUUGUGCUUCACAGCAGAGACUCAUUUUGUGACUCUGGAGUGCUUAGCACCUCCUCUUCUCCAGAAAUUGACCAUCUGAUAAUAAGAACAUGUAAAGAGCGGGCCAGAAAAGCUAGCCACCAUGGCCCAGAGAGUGAAAAGCAAGCUGAGUACUACAGCCAGGAGGUAGACGCUGUGCAGGUUCCUACAGCUUCCCCUGGAGACUUCAAUGUCCCUCAGGAAGGAGGAAGUCCCAAACAACAUUUUGACCAAAGCAAAAGGCAAUCUCUGGAAAAGCAACCUACCCAAGAGACGGACCUUCCCAGGGAAAACACACUUCCUACCCCCGCUCCUGUAGAAGAGAUAAAGACAAUUGCUGACCAUUACCCAGAGACCUUUGGCAGCAUGCAAGACCUUCAGAUCCAUGAACAUCAGCUGAAGAAGUACCCCACAAGUGACAGUCUGGAUGAAUACAUGGAUGAAUGCUGUAGACUGAGCGAGGUGAACCAAGGGAACAGCAAAGCCCUGGGAUCUGGCCUGGGAUACCUGGAACACAUUUGCCAACUGAUUGAGAAGAUUGGGCAGCUACAGGAGCACAACCUGCGGCUCCAAAAGCAAGUGUGCAGCUUGCAGAAAGAGCAGAAGAUGAGCCGAAUAAAGGAGGAGUACCUUUUGCAGCAUUGCUCCUGUGGAGCUGCCAACGUCUUCCUCAACUCGUACCAAGAGGUGAAGACAUUUUUUACUGGGAGGAGCAGACCUCACAGCCUCUUGGUUCAGACUGGAAAURCUUCAGAUCUUUCCAUCAUCCCAGAAAUAGGAGCGAACACUGAAAAGCUGAGCAGCUGCAGUGGAAAUGAGAGAUACCUGGAAUCAGGAAACAGCCAUCUGAUGAUAGGGCUCAGGAAGUCAUCGAACAAURGGAGCAACAAGGAGAAUGAGUUCAGAGAAGCCUGUGGCAUGGCUGAGGGACAAGCUUUUCCAUCAAAGGACUCCGCAGUAAAAAAGGGUCUGGACACCAGUAAGAACAUUUYGGGUGAAAGCCAUGCUUGGGGAAGAAUGAGAGAUCUUAUGAGGAAGACACGGCUGAGAAACCAGAGCAAGCUGGGGCUGUCCUCUGCUGCUCUGAAGAGCUCCUGCCCACAGCUGUACAGGCCAGAUAUAAUGUCUUCGGAGCUGAGGAAAACUGAGAGGAACUCCAUGAUUGUUCUGGGGCAAAAUAYAAAGAAUGAAAACAUAUGGCCUUUCUGAUAACUCAAGUCAAAUGGAACAAGAAAGAAAAGAGCAGGAACACCAAUGGACACAGAACUGGAAACGCCAGGGUUUCUUUGUGCAACCUGCAUCCUACAGCUGUCAACAAGGCAACUCUGAUUUGGUGUUGAAAGAGAAAGAGGGAGCAGGGAGGUUGAGAGAGGUUUGUGGAAAGAUGUGUGCUCAGCUGUGCAUGGCUUCACUCCCAACUCUGAAGAAUACUUACAAAACCAAACCACAUGAAAACUAUAGUCAGUGUUUCAGCAACAUAACCAAUAGGGACUUUUAAAUAAGAUUUGGUAAAUCUUUCUCUGCUCUGGGUUAGGAACAGAACUACCUGAAGUACUGAAGCUUUUAAAUUAUCAUUGCUUUCUGGGGAUCUUCUCCAGCUGAAAGAAGCUUAAGACUUACAGCAGACAGCAGUACCUGGAAAAGUGCCAAAGACUCCUUGUCUGGGGCAGUAAGAGUUGAUGGGGAGAACAGCUUCCUCCCUCUAGGGAGGUUUGAGUUGCAGUCUGCUCACACCUACAGCAGCUCCUGCCCUCAGAGCUGCUCCCAGCCAAUGAUGCAGGCUUGGUGGCAUCCAACAGAAGAACCAAGUCUGUGAAGCAAAGAUAUCUUAAGAGGCUGUUCCCAAAUCCACCCUUCUCUUCUAAUUCUGCAGGGGUGCUUCUUCUGUGAAGGCCCCUUGACUUCAGUACUGCCCCAUGCAAAAAUUGGGUUCAGUGUGGGCUCAUUGCAGCAAGCAGAGCAAGGGGCACCAUGGGAAUCAAUCUUUUGAGAGACCUGAGGGUGCAUCGAAGACAGUACCCAGCUCUCUGGCAGGCUGACCUGUUAAUCUCUCAGGGGACCAGGCUUGAAUUCCCACUUUUAAGUUACAAGUUAAGGACCCCUGGAGGCUGCAGUGGCCACCUGAUGGCGCAUGCUGGACCUGCACUCCCACUGCUAGAAAAGAGCACAGGGGAGAGCAAGGCUGCAAGGAAGAGUUAUUCAGCUAUAUGCAUACUUUCAAAGCUGCCUCUC
This is a long non-coding RNA of Apteryx rowi (Okarito brown kiwi), 2276 nucleotides long. Ensembl lists it as uncharacterized. Lineage: Eukaryota; Metazoa; Chordata; Aves; Apterygiformes; Apterygidae. The record is from Ensembl.